GAAAGAGGAAGAAUGCGGCCACCCCACUUUCUCAGACACGGUGGAAAGUGGGAGGGAGCAAGAUAAAUGUCACUGUAUCAAGGGGACAUGAGACUGUGCACCCUGAACAGCCAGAAGGCAGGUGGAUCAGAGACCCCAGAGUCAAUCAGGAGCCUGAGUACCAUGUUCUACUCCCAGGAGACGGCAGACUGCGGUCUAGCGGAAACAGACUAAUGGAACCAGCAUCCUUGGAUUCCCAUCUGAGUCCUCACCAUGAAUUCAACAGUCCACCUGGCGCUUUUCUCAGUCUUAUUGGACCAGACCAGGAAAA
Molecule: long non-coding RNA, 310 nt
Filed under: Cavia porcellus (domestic guinea pig)
Lineage: Eukaryota; Metazoa; Chordata; Mammalia; Rodentia; Caviidae
Description: lncRNA (ENSCPOG00000037110.1)
Source: RNAcentral